RNAcentral lists this ribosomal RNA (785 nucleotides) under Boleodorus thylactus. RNAcentral's name for it is "partial large subunit ribosomal RNA". It matches the Rfam family "Eukaryotic large subunit ribosomal RNA", at positions 346 to 965 of the family's 3401-position model. Lineage: Eukaryota; Metazoa; Nematoda; Chromadorea; Rhabditida; Tylenchidae. The record is from RNAcentral.
AAGUACCCUGAGGGAAAGUUGAAAAGCACUUUGAAGAGAGAGUUAAAGAGGACGUGAAACCGAUGAGAAGGAAACGGAUAGAGCCGACGUAUCUGGCCUGUAUUCAGCCGCUCCGGUUGUGCGCCUCGUCUAGCGCGCGUGGUCCCGCCUCGGGCCGCGUGUGUCGGCGACGGUGCGCCUCAGUGGUGCAUUUACAGGUGAAGUGCGCCGAGGCUUGUGGUGGCGGCGAGCGGAUCCUCGUCUUGAGGCCACGCCUUCACGGGCGUGGUACCCGGACGCUCGGGGGAAGCUCGUCCGCUCUGCAUGUGUGAGAGUGCGGUUGGGGCGGUGUGGUGACUCGUUGUGCUCGCUGGUGGCGGUCGCAUGCGACACGUGCUAGUUGGGCGCUUCGGCGCUGCGCCGUCUUUCGCGCUCGUCCUCGGUGUGAAAGUCGGUCAUCUAUCCGACCCGUCUUGAAACACGGACCAAGGAGUUUAGCGUUUACGCGAGUCAUUGAGUGUUGUGUGAAACUCAAAGGCGCAAUGAAAGUGAAGCUAUGGUGAUAUGCGAUCGAGUGUGCCACGGUGCGCCCGAGCAGCAUAGCCCCGUCCCGAUCGCUUGCGAUGGGGCGGAGGUAGAGCGUAUGCGCUGAGACCCGAAAGAUGGUGAACUAUUCCUGAGCAGGACGAAGCCAGAGGAAACUCUGGUGGAAGUCCGAAGCGGUUCUGACGUGCAAAUCGAUCGUCUGACUUGGGUAUAGGGGCGAAAGACUAAUCGAACCAUCUAGUAGCUGGUUCCCUUCCGAA